Molecule: ribosomal RNA, 303 nt
Filed under: uncultured bacterium
Lineage: Bacteria
Description: partial 16S ribosomal RNA
Rfam family: Bacterial small subunit ribosomal RNA
Source: RNAcentral
AGCAGCCGCCGCGGUAAUACGGAGGGUGCAAGCGUUAAUCGGAAUUACUGGGCGUAAAGCGCACGCAGGCGGUCUGACAAGUCAGAUGUGAAAUCCCCGGGCUUAACCUGGGAACUGCAUUUGAAACUGUCAGGCUGGAGUCUUGUAGAGGGGGGUAGAAUUCCAGGUGUAGCGGUGAAAUGCGUAGAGAUCUGGAGGAAUACCGGUGGCGAAGGCGGCCCCCUGGACAAAGACUGACGCUUAGGUGCGAAAGCGUGGGGAGCAAACAGGAUUAGAUACCCGCGUAGUCCCUGUCUCUUAUAC